GACGAACGCUGGCGGCGUGCCUAAUACAUGCAAGUAGAACGCUGAAGAGAGGAGCUUGCUCUUCUUGGAAGAGUUGCGAACGGGUGAGUAACGCGUAGGUAACCUGCCUUGUAGCGGGGGAUAACUAUUGGAAACGAUAGCUAAUACCGCAUAACAAUGGGUGACCCAUGUCAUUCAUUUGAAAGGGGCAACUGCUCCACUACAGGAUGGACCUGCGUUGUAUUAGCUAGUAGGUGAGGUAACGGCUCACCUAGGCGACGAUACAUAGCCGACCUGAGAGGGUGAUCGGCCACACUGGGACUGAAACACGGCCCAGACUCCUACGGGAGGCAGCAGUAGGGAAUCUUCGGCAAUGGGGGCAACCCUGACCGAGCAACGCCGCGUGAGUGAAGAAGGUUUUCGGAUCGUAAAGCUCUGUUGUAAGUCAAGAACGAGUGUGAGAGUGGAAAGUUCACACUGUGACGGUAGCUUACCAGAAAGGGACGGCUAACUACGUGCCAGCAGCCGCGGUAAUACGUAGGUCCCGAGCGUUGUCCGGAUUUAUUGGGCGUAAAGCGAGCGCAGGCGGUUUGAUAAGUCUGAAGUUAAAGGCUGUGGCUCAACCAUAGUUCGCUUUGGAAAACUGUCAAACUUGAGUGCAGAAGGGGAGAGUGGAAUUCCAUGUGUAGCGGUGAAAUGCGUAGAUAUAUGGAGGAACACCGGUGGCGAAAGCG
RNAcentral lists this ribosomal RNA (713 nucleotides) under uncultured Streptococcus sp. RNAcentral's name for it is "bacterial SSU rRNA". It matches the Rfam family "Bacterial small subunit ribosomal RNA", at positions 28 to 723 of the family's 1533-position model. Lineage: Bacteria; Bacillati; Bacillota; Bacilli; Lactobacillales; Streptococcaceae. The record is from RNAcentral.